UCGGUUACUGCAGCUGUUGUGAGCAUUUUAAUAUUGCUGCUCCUUCUGUUGGUUGUUGGUUUAUGGGUCUGGAGGAAGAAAUGGCAAAGUUCUGGUGUCGUAGUUCAGUUCAGCAGCAGGUUAAAGGAACUGAAAAAAGACCAGGAGGACAAAAGCAACGGAGCAGUGGAUGAAAGGGAACGCACCAAUAAGCUGUAUCAAACUAAAAGCUCCAGUCACGACCCG
This is a long non-coding RNA of Nematolebias whitei (Rio pearlfish), 225 nucleotides long. RefSeq lists it as uncharacterized. Lineage: Eukaryota; Metazoa; Chordata; Actinopteri; Cyprinodontiformes; Rivulidae. The transcript has 3 exons. The record is from RefSeq and is a predicted model, not a curated record.